GUUAUGGAUUAAAGUUUGAUGAUGAGAGUGAUGAGAACCCAUUUUGGGUGCAAUUUUCUAAGGAAACAAUCAGGGGUUUGAAGUCAUUGCUUGCUCAACAACCUGACAGCUGAAGUACAUAGAAUGGUCGAGUUUUCAGGACACGGUACCGCCUUUGCCUAACUUUUGGAUGCAUAUUUGUUUAUGUGUAUUGCAAUAUUAUGCUGCUGUUGAUUAAUGUAAGCCUUUUCCAGGUUGAAAUAAUUCCUGUCUAAACUUCAAAUACUUGUAUAUGCUUGUGAAAACAUGCUACUAGAGUUCUGAUUGGACUUGCGUCCCCUCUCCAUAAAAAUUGCCUUUAUCUCGAUGUUUUACAAUGGAAACUCUCAUUGUAUAUUGUCUUUGAUGAUAAUUAGACUGAUGAAAGCAGAAUUGCUUA
Molecule: long non-coding RNA, 418 nt
Organism: Chenopodium quinoa (quinoa)
Lineage: Eukaryota; Viridiplantae; Streptophyta; Magnoliopsida; Caryophyllales; Amaranthaceae
Exons: 2
Source: RefSeq, a predicted model, not a curated record